This is a long non-coding RNA of Dermacentor albipictus, 832 nucleotides long. RefSeq lists it as uncharacterized. The record is from RefSeq and is a predicted model, not a curated record. Lineage: Eukaryota; Metazoa; Arthropoda; Arachnida; Ixodida; Ixodidae.
CGGGAUCGCUUGAUUACUCCGUGGACCCUCACGAAACCUUCAGCUUCGAAAAUUCGUGCGUAGCAGUUGCUGUCGCCGUCACCUAUGCUUCGGCGCAUUGAUUCAAGCAUCCGAGCCGAGCCAACUCCCACACGGCUGGAGAACCGUCGCAGCGUGUCCAGCUGGCAACGUCUCGAUGGACUUUCUCCGGUGGCCUCGCAGGAGUAGGGACUCAUUCGGCCCUACCUGUUCCCUAGCGACUCACUCUGUUUCAGCCUUCUCCGGCCGCCUCGCAGCAGCAGGGACUCAUUCGGCCCUACCUGUUCCCUAGCGACUCACUCUGUUCCAGCCUGCCUGGCGGGGAGACGGACGUGUCUAUCGCCUAGCAAGGACACCUUGAGGAGUGCGGCAACGACGUCUAGGUCACGUGUACGCCUCGCGGUCGAAAUUGCGGGCCACGGAUCGCCCCGGGUGAAUUGGGCAAGUUUACUUAAUGGUAACGUGAGGUGGUAUCUACUUCGCCAUUGUAUUUUGAAAUCUAUUACUGACUGUGUACACGCGUAGCCCUAGAUAACGUUACAGAUAAAGGGCGCCUCAUAUUCGUAUUGCAGAAAGCUUGUGGGGUUCUUACGUGCCAGAGAGAGAGAAAGAAACGUUUAUUAUACGAAACAGUGUCCCGAGCGAGGACGGGUAUCACCCUAAGGUGGGAAGGCUCCUUAGUCCAGGGACCCUCUGACUUCGACUGCCCUCUUGGGCCUGGCGACGAGUUGUCGUUGGUCAUCCAGGUCCCCGAAGGUUAGCUUGGCCUCCAAAAACUUUUAUUUUACCUGCUGAUUAAAUUUUGCAUGCCUUG